RNAcentral lists this ribosomal RNA (119 nucleotides) under Oncorhynchus mykiss (rainbow trout). Lineage: Eukaryota; Metazoa; Chordata; Actinopteri; Salmoniformes; Salmonidae. The record is from RNAcentral.
GCUUACGGCCACACCGGCCUGAGUACGCCUGAUCUCGUCCGAUCUCGGAAGCUAAGCAGGGUCGGGCCUGGUUAGUACUUGGAUGGGGGACCGCCUGGGAAUACCAGGUGCUGUAAGCU